GACGUAGGGCGCGAGCGUUGUCCGGAUUUAUUGGGCGUAAAGAGCUCGUAGGCGGCUUGUCGCGUCGUUCGUGAAAACCCACGGCUCAACUGUGGGCUUGCGGUCGAUACGGGCAGGCUGGAGUUCGGUAGGGGAGACUGGAAUUCCUGGUGUAGCGGUGAAAUGCGCAGAUAUCAGGAAGAACACCGGUGGCGAAGGCGGGUCUCUGGGCAACUACUGACGCUGAGAAGCGAAAGCAUGGGGAGCGAACAGG
RNAcentral lists this ribosomal RNA (253 nucleotides) under uncultured bacterium. RNAcentral's name for it is "partial 16S ribosomal RNA". It matches the Rfam family "Bacterial small subunit ribosomal RNA", at positions 524 to 776 of the family's 1533-position model. The record is from RNAcentral.